Molecule: ribosomal RNA, 253 nt
Filed under: uncultured bacterium
Lineage: Bacteria
Description: partial 16S ribosomal RNA
Rfam family: Bacterial small subunit ribosomal RNA
Source: RNAcentral
UACGUAGGGGGCAAGCGUUGUCCGGAAUCAUUGGGCGUAAAGCGCGUGUAGGCGGCCCGGUAAGUCCGCUGUGAAAGUCCAGGGCUCAACCCUGGAAUGCCGGUGGAUACUGUCGGGCUCGAGUCCGGAAGAGGCGAGUGGAAUUCCUGGUGUAGCGGUGAAAUGCGCAGAUAUCAGGAGGAACACCAAUGGCGAAGGCAGCUCGCUGGGACGUGACUGACGCUGAGACGCGAAAGCGUGGGGAGCAAACAGG